CCGAAGCUGUGGGUAGGGGAGGCAAUCAUCAGGCUCCCCAGAACGAGGCAGGAUGGUGUGCGCUCAAGCGCCCUGCGUUUGCUGGGCCAGCGGUGGCUACACUUGGUUAUUCAAGGCUGGAAUUCAAAUGAGGCUGGCGCUGCUCCAAGUCUCAGGGCUUAGGAGAGAGAGGCGCAUUAACAAUUCAUCAAGAUCAGCCUUGUGUGGGCUCCGGCUCCCCCAUCUGCAUCCCUCCCUCUGUCACUGAUUUGGGGUUGUGGGGGGGGCCUCUUCCAGAAGCACUUCAGCUGUCAGUCUAUGAACAAGGAUGGGGGGGCUCUGAAGUUAGGCAGAUUUUUCUCAUCACAUGAUGGGGGACCUGUAUCAUGUGAUGGCUCCGGUGAUGUUGGAGGCGGCAUGUGACUCCCAGGGCUACGUGGGCUCAAAAACAAUUUAAAUACAAAAACACACGCAGGUUCCCCUCUUUUCCUUUCCCUUUUGGUCUGGCUCUUUCUACCUUUGCGUUGGUGCCCGACUGAAUGGAAAACCCUUCUUCGUUUUGCAGCCUGUGAGCUCCGGGUACCUGGAGACCAGGCCCCUGCACGGCCCCCACCCCAGGAGUCGUGCCCCCAACAUUCUGCAGUCCUCUGACUAUCAGCCUGCUGUGGAAAGUGAGGCCUGGAGAGGUGAUGUGAUUUGCCUGAAGUCAUGCAACUAGUGGCAGAGCCGGGCCUAGAAGCCAGGUGUCCUGGAUCUCAAGAUACCCCACUGCCUGAGGAAUGGAACAGGAAUGGCUUUAAAAGCGACCACUGCACCACUGACUUCUUCCUGUGAGGUGACAUCACUUCGGAGGUCCUCCACUGCUAUCCAUUCAGCUCCCGAAUAUCACCUGUUGAUUCUUCAAGUCCUUUUAAUUUCCAUAUCAAGAAUUGAACCUAGCGCCUUGCACAUGCUAGGCAAACCCUGAAUCUCCGAGAUACAUCUCCAGACCUUUAAACAAAUGGUUUAUUGAUUGUUUGUUUGUUUUAUUGAGACAAGGUCUUACUGUAUAGCCUAGAUGGCCUAGAACUCACCUAUGUAGACCUGGCUGGACGUGAACACACAGAGAUCUGCCUGUCUCUGCCCCCUGCAUGCUGGGAUUAAAGGUGUGAUACUACGUCCAGACCUGGGUUUUGUUUGUUUGCGUUGUUACUUUUUAGGGUUUUGUGUGGCUGGUUGGUUGGUUCUUUUUAAAGUUAGGGUGUCAAUGAGUUGUCCAGGUUGGUGUUAAACUCUCUCUCAGGGUCAGGCAGGUCUUUUACACGUCUGAUCCUUUCCCUCUGCCCUCUGGGUAGCUGGGAUGGUAGGCCUCUGCCCUGGUGGAUUCCUUAAAUUCAACACAGGUUUAUCGCCU
Meriones unguiculatus (Mongolian gerbil) is the source of this 1372-nucleotide long non-coding RNA. RefSeq lists it as uncharacterized. The record is from RefSeq and is a predicted model, not a curated record. The transcript is spliced from 3 exons. Lineage: Eukaryota; Metazoa; Chordata; Mammalia; Rodentia; Muridae.